This 253-nucleotide ribosomal RNA is filed under the name uncultured bacterium. RNAcentral describes it as "partial 16S ribosomal RNA". It matches the Rfam family "Bacterial small subunit ribosomal RNA", at positions 524 to 776 of the family's 1533-position model. The record is from RNAcentral.
UACGUAGGUGGCGAGCGUUGUCCGGAUUUACUGGGCGUAAAGCGCGCGCAGGCGGACUGAUCAGUCUGGGGUGAAAUCUCACGGCUCAACUGUGAGCGGUCCCUGGAUACUGUCAGUCUUGAGAUGUCUAGAGGAGAGCGGAAUUCCCGGUGUAGUGGUGGAAUGCGUAGAUAUCGGGAAGAACACCAGUGGCGAAAGCGGCUCUCUGGGGACCAUCUGACGCUGAGGAGCGAAAGCCAGGGGAGCAAACGGG